UACGUAGGGUCCAAGCGUUAUCCGGAAUCACUGGGCGUAAAGCGUGUGUAGGCGGCGUGUUAAGUGCGAUGCGAAAUCUUGUGGCUCAACCAUAUAGACUGUAUCGCAUACUGGCAUGCUAGAGGAUGGCAGAGGCAAGUGGAAUUGGUAGUGUAGCAGUGAAAUGCGUAGAUAUUACCAGGAACACCAAUGGCGAAGGCAGCUUGCUGGGCCAUAUCUGACGCUGAGACACGAAAGCGUGGGGAGCGAACAGG
This 254-nucleotide ribosomal RNA is filed under the name uncultured bacterium. Its description in RNAcentral is "partial 16S ribosomal RNA". It matches the Rfam family "Bacterial small subunit ribosomal RNA", at positions 524 to 776 of the family's 1533-position model. The record is from RNAcentral.